UGAACGCUGGCGGCGUGCCUCAUACAUGCACGUCGAGCGAACAGACGAGGAGCUUGCUCCUCUGACGUUAGCGGCGGACGGGUGAGUAACACGUGGAUAACCUACCUAUAAGACUGGGAUAACUUCGGGAAACCGGAGCUAAUACCGGAUAAUAUAUUGAACCGCAUGGUUCAAUAGUGAAAGACGGUUUUGCUGUCACUUAUAGAUGGAUCCGCGCCGCAUUAGCUAGUUGGUAAGGUAACGGCUUACCAAGGCGACGAUGCGUAGCCGACCUGAGAGGGUGAUCGGCCACACUGGAACUGAGACACGGUCCAGACUCCUACGGGAGGCAGCAGUAGGGAAUCUUCCGCAAUGGGCGAAAGCCUGACGGAGCAACGCCGCGUGAGUGAUGAAGGUCUUCGGAUCGUAAAACUCUGUUAUUAGGGAAGAACAAAUGUGUAAGUAACUAUGCACGUCUUGACGGUACCUAAUCAGAAAGCCACGGCUAACUACGUG
This 495-nucleotide ribosomal RNA is filed under the name uncultured bacterium. RNAcentral's name for it is "partial 16S ribosomal RNA". It matches the Rfam family "Bacterial small subunit ribosomal RNA", at positions 30 to 507 of the family's 1533-position model. The record is from RNAcentral.